UGGAAUAAUAAAAUAGGACGGCAUGGUUCUAUUUUGUUGGUUUCUAGGAUCACCGUAAUGAUUAAUAGGGAUAGUUGGGGGCAUUAGUAUUCAAUUGUCAGAGGUGAAAUUCUUGGAUUUAUUGAAGACUAACUUCUGCGAAAGCAUUUGCCAAGGAUGUUUUCAUUAAUCAAGAACGAAAGUUAGGGGAUCGAAGACGAUCAGAUACCGUCGUAGUCUUAACCAUAAACUAUGCCGACUAGGGAUCGGACGAUGUUAAUUUUUUAAUGACUCGUUCGGCGCCUUACG
RNAcentral lists this ribosomal RNA (288 nucleotides) under uncultured Glomeromycotina. RNAcentral's name for it is "partial 18S ribosomal RNA". It matches the Rfam family "Eukaryotic small subunit ribosomal RNA", at positions 810 to 1092 of the family's 1831-position model. Lineage: Eukaryota; Fungi; Glomeromycota. The record is from RNAcentral.